GGUUAAGCGACUAAGCGUACACGGUGGAUGCCCUGGCAGUCAGAGGCGAUGAAGGACGUGCUAAUCUGCGAAAAGCGUCGGUAAGGUGAUAUGAACCGUUACAGCCGGCGAUGUCCGAAUGGGGAAACCCAGUGCAAUUCGUUGCACUAUCGUUAACUGAAUACAUAGGUUAACGAGGCGAACCGGGGGAACUGAAACAUCUAAGUACCCCGAGGAAAAGAAAUCAACCGAGAUUCCCCCAGUAGCGGCGAGCGAACGGGGAGCAGCCCAGAGUCUGAAUCAGCUUGUGUGUUAGUGGAACGGUCUGGAAAGUCCGACGGUACAGGGUGAUAGUCCCGUACACCAAAAUGCACAGGCUGUGAACUCGAAGAGUAGGGCGGGACACGUGGUAUCCUGUCUGAAUAUGGGGGGACCAUCCUCCAAGGCUAAAUACUCCUGACUGACCGAUAGUGAACCAGUACCGUGAGGGAAAGGCGAAAAGAACCCCGGCGAGGGGAGUGAAAAAGAACCUGAAACCGUGUACGUACAAGCAGUGGGAGCACCUUCGGGUGUGACUGCGUACCUUUUGUAUAAUGGGUCAGCGACUUAUAUUCUGUAGCAAGGUUAACCGUAUAGGGGAGCCGCAGGGAAACCGAGUCUUAACUGGGCGUUAAGUUGCAGGGUAUAGACCCGAAACCCGGUGAUCUAGCCAUGGGCAGGUUGAAGGUUGGGUAACACUAACUGGAGGACCGAACCGACUAAUGUUGAAAAAUUAGCGGAUGACUUGUGGCUGGGGGUGAAAGGCCAAUCAAACCGGGAGAUAGCUGGUUCUCCCCGAAAGCUAUUUAGGUAGCGCCUCGUGAAUUCAUCUUCGGGGGUAGAGCACUGUUUCGGCUAGGGGGUCAUCCCGACUUACCAACCCGAUGCAAACUACGAAUACCGAAGAAUGUUAUCACGGGAGACACACGGCGGGUGCUAACGUCCGUCGUGAAGAGGGAAACAACCCAGACCGCCAGCUAAGGUCCCAAAGUCAUGGUUAAGUGGGAAACGAUGUGGGAAGGCACAGACAGCCAGGAUGUUGGCUUAGAAGCAGCCAUCAUUUAAAGAAAGCGUAAUAGCUCACUGGUCGAGUCGGCCUGCGCGGAAGAUGUAACGGGGCUAAACCAUGCACCGAAGCUGCGGCAGCGACACUAUGUGUUGUUGGGUAGGGGAGCGUUCUGUAAGCCUGCGAAGGUGUGCUGUGAGGCAUGCUGGAGGUAUCAGAAGUGCGAAUGCUGACAUAAGUAACGAUAAAGCGGGUGAAAAGCCCGCUCGCCGGAAGACCAAGGGUUCCUGUCCAACGUUAAUCGGGGCAGGGUGAGUCGACCCCUAAGGCGAGGCCGAAAGGCGUAGUCGAUGGGAAACAGGUUAAUAUUCCUGUACUUGGUGUUACUGCGAAGGGGGGACGGAGAAGGCUAUGUUAGCCGGGCGACGGUUGUCCCGGUUUAAGCAUGUAGGCUGGUUGUCCAGGCAAAUCCGGAUAAUCAAGGCUGAGGUGUGAUGACGAGGCACUACGGUGCUGAAGUAACAAAUGCCCUGCUUCCAGGAAAAGCCUCUAAGCAUCAGGUAACAUCAAAUCGUACCCCAAACCGACACAGGUGGUCAGGUAGAGAAUACCAAGGCGCUUGAGAGAACUCGGGUGAAGGAACUAGGCAAAAUGGUGCCGUAACUUCGGGAGAAGGCACGCUGGUGUGUAGGUGAAGUCCCUGCGGAUGGAGCUGAGACCAGUCGAAGAUACCAGCUGGCUGCAACUGUUUAUUAAAAACACAGCACUGUGCAAACACGAAAGUGGACGUAUACGGUGUGACGCCUGCCCGGUGCCGGAAGGUUAAUUGAUGGGGUUAUCCGUAAGGAGAAGCUCUUGAUCGAAGCCCCGGUAAACGGCGGCCGUAACUAUAACGGUCCUAAGGUAGCGAAAUUCCUUGUCGGGUAAGUUCCGACCUGCACGAAUGGCGUAAUGAUGGCCAGGCUGUCUCCACCCGAGACUCAGUGAAAUUGAACUCGCUGUGAAGAUGCAGUGUACCCGCGGCAAGACGGAAAGACCCCGUGAACCUUUACUAUAGCUUGACACUGAACAUUGAGCCUUGAUGUGUAGGAUAGGUGGGAGGCUUUGAAGCGUGGACGCCAGUCUGCGUGGAGCCAACCUUGAAAUACCACCCUUUAAUGUUUGAUGUUCUAACGUUGGCCCCUUACCGGGGUUGCGGACAGUGUCUGGUGGGUAGUUUGACUGGGGCGGUCUCCUCCCAAAGCGUAACGGAGGAGCACGAAGGUUAGCUAAUCCUGGUCGGACAUCAGGAGGUUAGUGCAAUGGCAUAAGCUAGCUUGACUGCGAGCGUGACGGCGCGAGCAGGUGCGAAAGCAGGUCAUAGUGAUCCGGUGGUUCUGAAUGGAAGGGCCAUCGCUCAACGGAUAAAAGGUACUCCGGGGAUAACAGGCUGAUACCGCCCAAGAGUUCAUAUCGACGGCGGUGUUUGGCACCUCGAUGUCGGCUCAUCACAUCCUGGGGCUGAAGUAGGUCCCAAGGGUAUGGCUGUUCGCCAUUUAAAGUGGUACGCGAGCUGGGUUUAGAACGUCGUGAGACAGUUCGGUCCCUAUCUGCCGUGGGCGCUGGAGAAUUGAGGGGGGCUGCUCCUAGUACGAGAGGACCGGAGUGGACGCAUCACUGGUGUUCGGGUUGUCAUGCCAAUGGCACUGCCCGGUAGCUAAAUGCGGAAGAGAUAAGUGCUGAAAGCAUCUAAGCACGAAACUUGCCCCGAGAUGAGUUCUCCCUGAGACUUUAAGUCUCCUGAAGGAACGUUGAAGACGACGACGUUGAUAGGCCGGGUGUGUAAGCGCAGCGAUGCGUUGAGCUAACCGGUACUAAUGAACCGUGAGGCUUAACCUU
RNAcentral lists this ribosomal RNA (2902 nucleotides) under Klebsiella pneumoniae. RNAcentral's name for it is "23S ribosomal RNA". It matches the Rfam family "Bacterial large subunit ribosomal RNA". The record is from RNAcentral. Lineage: Bacteria; Pseudomonadati; Pseudomonadota; Gammaproteobacteria; Enterobacterales; Enterobacteriaceae.